AAUCAACGCUGGCGGCGUGCCUCAGACAUGCAAGUCGAACGAUUAAGACUUCCUUCGGGAAGUGCAUAAAGUGGCGCACGGGUGAGUAACACGUAAGUAAUCUACCCUCGAGUGGGGAAUAACGUUCGGAAACGGACGCUAAUACCGCAUAACGCAGCGGCACCGCAAGGUGACAGUUGUUAAAGGAGCAAUUCGCUUGAAGAGGAGCUUGCGGCAGAUUAGCUAGUUGGUAAGGUAAUGGCUUACCAAGGCUACGAUCUGUAACCGGUCUUAGAGGACGGUCGGUCACACUGACACUGAACAACGGGUCAGACUCCUACGGGAGGCAGCAGUCGGGAAUUUUGGGCAAUGGGCGACAGCCUGACGCAGCGACGCCGCGUGGGGGAUGAAGGUCUUCGGAUUGUAAACCCCUUUCGGCAGGGAAGAUGGAACGGGUAACCGUUCGGACGGUACCUGCAGAAGCAGCCACGGCUAACUUCGUG
This 482-nucleotide ribosomal RNA is filed under the name uncultured bacterium. RNAcentral's name for it is "bacterial SSU rRNA". It matches the Rfam family "Bacterial small subunit ribosomal RNA", at positions 32 to 507 of the family's 1533-position model. The record is from RNAcentral.